AUUGAACGCUGGCGGCAGGCCUAACACAUGCAAGUCGAGCGGCAGCGGGACCUUCGGGUUGCCGGCGAGCGGCGGACGGGUGAGUAAUGCCUAGGAAUCUGCCUGUUAGUGGGGGAUAACGCGGGGAAACUCGCGCUAAUACCGCAUACGUCCUACGGGAGAAAGCGGGGGCUCUUCGGACCUCGCGCUAACAGAUGAGCCGAAGUCGGAUUAGCUAGUUGGUGGGGUAAUGGCCCACCAAGGCGACGAGCCGUAACUGGUCGGAGAGGAUGAUGAGUCACGCUGGAAAGGAGACACGGUCCAGACUCCUACGGGAGGAAGCAGUGGGGAAUAUUGGACAAUGGGCGAAAGCCUGAUCCAGCCAUGGCGCGUGUGUGAAGGAGGUCUUCGGAUUGUAAAGCACUUUAAGUCGGGAGGAAGGGCUGUAGGCUAAUACCUUGCAGUUUUGACGUUACCGACAGAAUAAGCACCGGCUAACAUCGUGCCAGCCGCCGCCGUAA
RNAcentral lists this ribosomal RNA (500 nucleotides) under uncultured bacterium. RNAcentral's name for it is "partial 16S ribosomal RNA". It matches the Rfam family "Bacterial small subunit ribosomal RNA", at positions 29 to 523 of the family's 1533-position model. The record is from RNAcentral.